This 235-nucleotide ribosomal RNA is filed under the name uncultured bacterium. Its description in RNAcentral is "partial 16S ribosomal RNA". It matches the Rfam family "Bacterial small subunit ribosomal RNA", at positions 99 to 334 of the family's 1533-position model. The record is from RNAcentral.
CGAACGGGUGCGUAACACGUGAGCGACCUGCCUUUCCGCGGGGGAUAGCCGGCCCAACGGCCGGGUAAUACCGCAUACGCUGCUCAGGGGGCAUCCCUUGGGUAGGAAACCUCCGGGGCGGAGAGAGGGGCUCGCGACCUAUCAGCUAGUUGGCGAGGUAACGGCUCACCAAGGCGGCGACGGGUAGCUGGUCUGAGAGGAUGGCCAGCCACAUUGGGACUGAGAUACGGCCCAG